AUCCAGCUGACGAGUCCCAAAUAGGACGAAACGCGCGUCGCGUAU
RNAcentral lists this non-coding RNA (45 nucleotides) under Schistosoma mattheei. Lineage: Eukaryota; Metazoa; Platyhelminthes; Trematoda; Strigeidida; Schistosomatidae. The record is from RNAcentral.